This 251-nucleotide small RNA is filed under the name Homo sapiens (human). The record is from RNAcentral. Lineage: Eukaryota; Metazoa; Chordata; Mammalia; Primates; Hominidae.
CUUUCCCCAAUCUGUGAAGUAGCUAAUAAUAUAGAACAGAAUGCUCAAGAGAAUGAAAAUGAAAGCCAAGUUUCAACAGAUGAAAGUGAGAACUCCAGGUCUCCUGGAAAUAAAUCAGAUAACAUCAAGCCCAAAUCUGCUCCAUGGAACUCUUUUCUCCCUCCACCACCCCCCAUGCCAGGGCCAAGACUGGGACCAGGAAAGUGGAAAGUUGGGGACAAAUGUUCUGCCAUUUGGUCAGAAGACGGUUG